Molecule: ribosomal RNA, 106 nt
Filed under: Austrofundulus leoni
Lineage: Eukaryota; Metazoa; Chordata; Actinopteri; Cyprinodontiformes; Rivulidae
Description: partial 16S ribosomal RNA
Source: RNAcentral
UACUCAAUAACUAGCUUACACAACUAAAAUAACAAAUGUUAUUAAACAAGCCUAAAGUUUCUAAACCCCUUAACUAAAACAUUUUCUUGUUCUUAGUACGGGCGAC